ACUGCUGUUACUAGGUAGUUUUUUAAACUAUUAAAAUAUUUACACGACAAUUGUAUCAAACCUAUAUAACCAAAAAAAAGCCAUCUUUGUUAUCAUUCUCAUCUGGGGAUCGUUAUAUUCUGUCCAAAAUUGUUACUCAAUUUUCUACUAGACCUACUCGAACAAUGAAGAGCAGGGAAACCGCCACAAAAUGCUGCGCGUAUCUUACUUUAAUUUUAAUGACUGUUUAACAUUUGGACAAAGUAUGACAUUUAUACAUGAUAUGUAACCAAUAAGAAAGCAGUAGUCGGUUGGCCGCUCUUUGAUUAUAUAGAGUUUAACUAAAAUAUAAGUGAUUCAAAUGUCUUUUUUUAAGUGUGUUUGAAUUGGUUUUCCAAAAUCUCUUCAAUAUUUUUACAUUUUAAUGACCACCUAAAUGAUGAGAUGUACUUUAAAUCUUCUGCCUGGUGUCCAUUUAGGGACAAAUAAGAAGUGGAAAAUUAAGCAUACUUCCCAAAGUAGGCAACAUGUUGGUACGCAGAAGGUCGCAUGGUAACAGUACAGAAAAUAAAU
Molecule: non-coding RNA, 552 nt
Organism: Cinara cedri
Lineage: Eukaryota; Metazoa; Arthropoda; Insecta; Hemiptera; Aphididae
Source: the annotation of a GenBank genome assembly